GAAAGAUCGCCGUUAUGAAAAUAGCACUGAAAGAAUGAUUCCGUACCGAAAAAUACCAUUCCGUUAACUUUUGUAAUGAACCAGCCAUUUUCCUCUUUAUUGGAUAAAGUGAAGUGUCUCUUUCACCCUCGUCUUCUUCAAUAUCCUUCUUCCUUGCACCUGGCCAAAACUCGCCAGCGGGAGCAGCGGCGCGGCGCAGACGUGGCCAGAGCUUGCCGACCCGGCGCGAGCGCGGCAGGCCAGCGGUCCC
This 250-nucleotide long non-coding RNA is filed under the name Panicum hallii. RNAcentral describes it as "long non-coding RNA (PHAL_LNC000480)". Lineage: Eukaryota; Viridiplantae; Streptophyta; Magnoliopsida; Poales; Poaceae. The record is from RNAcentral.